UAACAAGGAUUCCCCUAGUAACGGCGAGUGAAGAGGGAAAAGCUCAAAGUUGGAACCUGUCUGGCCUAACCAGUCCGGAUUGUAAACUAAAGAGCCGUUUUCCAGGCAAGCCAGCCAAAAAAGUCCCUUGGAACAGGGCAUCAUAGAGGGUGAGAAUCCCGUCUUUGGUCUGAGCGAUAUUGUCUUUAUGUGAUACGGUUUCAAAGAGUCAGGUUGUUUGGGAAUGCAGCCUAAAGUGGGUGGUAAAUCUCAUCUAAAGCUAAAUAUUGGCGAGAGACCGAUAGCGAACAAGUACCGUGAGGGGAAAGAUGUAAAGAACCUUUGAAAAGAGAUUAAACAGUACGUGAAAUUGCUGAAAGGGAACCGUUUGAGGUUAGACUAGCUGGCCAGUAAUCAGUCUUGGAUUCGUCCAUGAUGCACUUGCUGGUCUUUGGCUAGCCAACGACAGUUUUUUCUGUGGGAAAAAAUAUGUAGGAAUGUGGCUCCGCUUUUGGGGGAGUGUUAUAGCCUGCUGUAGAAUACCACGGAGGAGACUGAGGCUUGCAGUGAAUGCUAUUAUGGCUUUGGAUCUGGUUGACUGUAUGGAGUUGUGGGCUGCUACUCGGCUUGCCGCGGCUUUCUGCCUCUCUGUGCAGUAUCUUCUAGUUUACCCUUAAAUCACUUAGGUCGCAGGGUUAAUGA
This 681-nucleotide ribosomal RNA is filed under the name Spinellus fusiger. RNAcentral describes it as "eukaryotic LSU rRNA". It matches the Rfam family "Eukaryotic large subunit ribosomal RNA", at positions 66 to 637 of the family's 3401-position model. The record is from RNAcentral. Lineage: Eukaryota; Fungi; Mucoromycota; Mucoromycetes; Mucorales; Phycomycetaceae.